AUUGAACGCUGGCGGGAUGCCUAACACAUGCAAGUCGAGCGGAGCGGCGGACGGGUGAGUAAUGCCUAGGAAUCUGCCUGGUAGUGGGGGAUAACGUCCGGAAAGGGUCGCUAAUACCGCAUACUAUCAGAUCAGCCUAGGUCGGAUUAGCUAGUUGGUGGGGUAAAGGCCUACCAAGGCGACGAUCCGUAACUGGUCUGAGAGGAGGAUCAGUCACACUGGGACUGAGACACGGCCCAGACUCCUACGGGAGGCAGCAGUGGGGAAUAUUGGACAAUGGGCGAAAGCCUGAUCCAGCCAUGCCGCGUGUGUGAAGAAGGCCUUCGGAUUGUAAAGCACUUUAAGCUGGGAGGCGUUACCUACAGAAUAAGCACCGGCUAACUUCGUGCCAGCAGCCGCGGUAAUAC
RNAcentral lists this ribosomal RNA (407 nucleotides) under uncultured bacterium. RNAcentral describes it as "partial 16S ribosomal RNA". It matches the Rfam family "Bacterial small subunit ribosomal RNA", at positions 30 to 526 of the family's 1533-position model. The record is from RNAcentral.